CAGCCGCCGCGGUAAUACGAAGGGUGCAAGCGUUAAUCGGAAUUACUGGGCGUAAAGCGUGCGUAGGCGGUUUGUUAAGUCUGUUGUGAAAUCCCCGGGCUCAACCUGGGAAUGGCAAUGGAUACUGGCAAGCUAGAGUGUGUCAGAGGAUGGUGGGAUUCCCGGUGUAGCGGUGAAGUGCGUAGAGAUCGGGAGGAACAUCAGUGGCGAAGGCGGCCAUCUGGGACAACACUGACGCUGAGGCACGAAAGCGUGGGGAGCAAACAGGAUUAGAUACCCCGGUAGUCCCUGUCUCUUAUAC
Molecule: ribosomal RNA, 301 nt
Filed under: uncultured bacterium
Lineage: Bacteria
Description: partial 16S ribosomal RNA
Rfam family: Bacterial small subunit ribosomal RNA
Source: RNAcentral